Cyprinus carpio (common carp) is the source of this 1444-nucleotide long non-coding RNA. RefSeq lists it as uncharacterized. Lineage: Eukaryota; Metazoa; Chordata; Actinopteri; Cypriniformes; Cyprinidae. The transcript is spliced from 3 exons. The record is from RefSeq and is a predicted model, not a curated record.
AAAAAUUAAAGCUGCAGUCGGUAACUUUUGGGGCUCGCGUCUGGCGGAAGAACAUUGUAGCCGGAGCUACUUCUCUCUGUUUACAUCUAUGGCGAGUCACGCAGGUACUGUGCUACUCCGCAGCGUUGCCGACCCCAACCCAAGCGUGUACAUCUGCAGACUGCAAGACAGGGGCGUAACUUGAAAGAGGCGUAACUUGAAGUAGGAGGCGUAACUUGAAGUUGUCGAAAUCUCACAGAAUCACGCGAGAUGUCAAAAUGAUAAGUUGUUGGCAAUAUGGCUUCUUUCAGUAGGGCACAGAGUAGAAUAUUGAUUACGUUUUUUUAAGGAAAGCAGGGGUUUUAGGCAGGAUUUGAUGCAUAAGGUGUGUGUAGAUAUUAAUGUUAGGGGACAAUGUGAGUGAUGUGUACGUUUAGUAGGAAAAUCUAUUAUCUGAUCCACACUCCGGGACAGAAGAGGGCGGUAUUGCACCAAUAAGCUGGAUGCCAACCGCCGUUAAACUGGAAAGAAGUUACAAUGAGUUACAAUGGAACAGAUUAUGUUUAUCUGCUGUAGAGUGACUGAUGAAGGAAUGCUGCCAUCAAAGGAUUUGUGUUAUGAAAAUGUCUGCAGACUGGUGUGUGCACUGAGGAUGGAGAAGUCCACUGCAGCAUCCGGAAAUGGUCCAGAGACACGGAUGAGACGCUCCAUCACUCCAGCUAUUACUGUCUCAUCAAGACCAGAUGCUGCUGUGGUCUAUUCAUCAUCAGUGACCCCAGAGCAGCGAGAGCAUCUAGAGAAAGACCAAAAGACACUGAGGAUUUGACUUUGGUAAAGUUUGUUCUGCUGGUUUCUGUUUAUAAGACGAAGGCUGACUUUCAGAAGCUUCAAAAGCAUCCUCAAAAAAUGUGAUGGAGCUUUUAUCUGAAGUGAUUGACAGUGCUCUUAUUACAGGGGCCUACAAUCCUCUGAUCAACCUGGAGAAAAGAGCCGUGCUCAAGCACAGUUUUGAACCAGUUCAGUGGUUUAGCACACUACAAAAGUAAUAAAUCAAUGCAUGUACUUGUAAACUCUGUGUAAAUGUUUUCCAGGUAGUGGUGCUCAUGGAGAGCAGCACACGAUUGUUUGGAGCAGACACAGCAGCACUCAGAUUGUCCUGCAUGUGUUCUUCUGCUCUCGUUUCAAGGUUGUGUGGUUCAGAGAGCCGUCAUCAAGGUCUUCCUCAUCCUGUUGCUCAACGACAUCCCCGUUGAGAAGAGUGAGAUUGUGAAGCACAGCGCAGCACCAGAACUGUCUCAGCUGUGUUGAGAUGAUAGUAAGAUGUGGGGUUCACCGUCAGUAAAUACAUGAUUGUUAGAACAGUAAGUUUGAAAGAAGCUUUGUUUCAUGUGUUGUUGACUUGUACAUGUCUGUAUUUAUUGUGAUGCUAACAUUUAUACAUUCUUUUAAUCAUUUAGACAUGUUU